GAGGACCGGUAGCUGAUCACCUCUUUGUUACGAAAAACAUUUUUCGCGUCCACCGAACCACUGCUAUAGUACACUUCUCUCUAUCUCUACUCUAUACAAUUCAAAUUCAGAGGCACAAAGCAGCCAGCAGGAAAGACAGAGACGCUGCUAUAGUGCAGUUUGUGUGGUAAUAUACUAUAUCAUUCUUCAGGCUGAAUGGGGAAAAUAGUAUGUACGGAGCUUAGUGGAGGAGGCGAUGGAGUUGAUCUGAUGGGCCUUCUCCUGGCGUUUGCAAUUGCUCUAGUGCUCAUGUUAAUAUGCGCCGCACAACCACCAGCUCGUCGGAGACUCGUGGCAGUCUAUCCAGCCUAUCAUUAAUGACCUGUUAAUAAAAAUGUGGGGUGGGUUCUGCCUCUGUUCAGUCAUUUUUCCCCGCCUUCUCCCUUGCGUCUUACAGGUGGUACUUUGGCAUAUCUUUUCCAGUGUUAUGAUUAAUGUAGUUGUCGUAUUGUAGGUGGCAAAGAUUGUUGUACGAUCAUAUGCAUCUGCAAAUCUACCCUUUAGCACCGUGUCAUCUAGUGGAGGUUCUGUUUUUCGUUUUUGGUUUUGGAUGAAAAUUUUGGCUGCAUGCUUAUCUAUCAAUCCGGCAUCUCAUCAGUUAACUA
This is a long non-coding RNA of Coffea eugenioides, 644 nucleotides long. RefSeq lists it as uncharacterized. NCBI's taxonomy places the organism in Eukaryota, Viridiplantae, Streptophyta, Magnoliopsida, Gentianales, Rubiaceae. The transcript is spliced from 2 exons. The record is from RefSeq and is a predicted model, not a curated record.